Molecule: ribosomal RNA, 406 nt
Filed under: uncultured bacterium
Lineage: Bacteria
Description: partial 16S ribosomal RNA
Rfam family: Bacterial small subunit ribosomal RNA
Source: RNAcentral
AUUGAACGCUGGCGGCAGGCCUAACACAUGCAAGUCGAACGAGUGGCGGACGGGUGAGUAAUGUCUGGGAAACUGCCUGAUGGAGGGGGAUAACUACUGGAAACGGUAGCUAAUACCGCAUACCAUCGGAUGUGCCCAGAUGGGAUGAGCUAGUAGGGGGGGUAAAGGCUACCCUAGGCGACGAUCCCUCGCUGGUCUGAGAGGAUGACCAGCCACACUGUAACUGAGACACGGUCCAGACUCCGACGGGAGGCAGCAGCGGGGAAUAUUGCACAAGUGGCGGAAGCCUGAUGCAGCCAUGCCGCGUGUAUGAAGAAGGCCUUCGGGUUGUAAAGUACUUUCAGCGGGGAGGCGUUACUCGCAGAAGAAGCACCGGCUAACUCCGUGCCAGCAGCCGCGGUAAUUC